GAAGGGAGCUUGCUCCCGGAUGUUAGCGGCGGACGGGUGAGUAACACGUGGGUAACCUGCCUGUAAGACUGGGAUAACUCCGGGAAACCGGAGCUAAUACCGGAUAGUUCCUUGAACCGCAUGGUUCAAGGAUGAAAGACGGUUUCGGCUGUCACUUACAGAUGGACCCGCGGCGCAUUAGCUAGUUGGUGGGGUAAUGGCUCACCAAGGCGACGAUGCGUAGCCGACCUGAGAGGGUGAUCGGCCACACUGGGACUGAGACACGGCCCAGACUCCUACGGGAGGCAGCAGUAGGGAAUCUUCCGCAAUGGACGAAAGUCUGACGGAGCAACGCCGCGUGAGUGAUGAAGGUUUUCGGAUCGUAAAGCUCUGUUGUUAGGGAAGAACAAGUGCGAGAGUAACUGCUCGCACCUUGACGGUACCUAACCAGAAAGCCACGGCUAACUACGUGCCAGCAGCCGCGGUAAUACGUAGGUGGCAAGCGUUGUCCGGAAUUAUUGGGCGUAAAGGGCUCGCAGGCGGUUUCUUAAGUCUGAUGUGAAAGCCCCCGGCUCAACCGGGGAGGGUCAUUGGAAACUGGGAAACUUGAGUGCAGAAGAGGAGAGUGGAAUUCCACGUGUAGCGGUGAAAUGCGUAGAGAUGUGGAGGAACACCAGUGGCGAAGGCGACUCUCUGGUCUGUAACUGACGCUGAGGAGCGAAAGCGUGGGGAGCGAACAGGAUUAGAUACCCUGGUAGUCCACGCCGUAAACGAUGAGUGCUAAGUGUUUAAGGGGGUUUCCGCCCCUUAGUGCUGCAGCUAACGCAUUAAGCACUCCGCCUGGGGGAAUACGGUCGCAAGACUGAAACUCAAAGGAAUUGACGGGGGCCGCAC
This 873-nucleotide ribosomal RNA is filed under the name Bacillus pumilus. Its description in RNAcentral is "bacterial SSU rRNA". It matches the Rfam family "Bacterial small subunit ribosomal RNA", at positions 71 to 926 of the family's 1533-position model. The record is from RNAcentral. Lineage: Bacteria; Bacillati; Bacillota; Bacilli; Caryophanales; Bacillaceae.